CCGAAGCACGGACACACCAAGUCGAUCAGCUUUUCGCUUUACAAUCACGAUGAGACUAUGCCAGCCUUGUCAGAGGCACCAAAUUCACUUCCGAUGCACUGGAAACCAGGAAUUACGAUUAUUAAGGUUAAUUGUUGCGCAAUCUAGUAUUCAAUCUAAUCAAUAAAAUGAGUGCUAAUUACUAAAACAACGCGACUCUUGUGAUAGAUUGAACAUGUCCUUCCAUCGGAGGAAAACACAUUUCCCACCGGGCGCAUGUGUUUACAAACAAGUACAAUUAUUGGAGCGUUAUAGCUCAAAACAAUCUAGGCUGUAUGUCGCGAUCUAAAACAAGAUCAAUAAAAUGCUACAAACUGCAAACGCAGUUUGACACGUAUUCAGUGAUGUGGUCGCUCAGGUAUAUUAGGAAAUCCAUUCAUAUAUUUGGUCUCAUCACUGACCUGGCGAGAGCGAAGGCUACUUAUAAAGCGGACACUGGCACUUUAAAUGCAACUCGGGUCACUGGAAACACGCAAGUCUAUAUGCAAUUCAAAGACAAGACGAACGGAAGGAAUAUGAAGACAUGGUAAAGAUAAGUUCGGUAACAGCUGGGGGCGCUCUAAUGACCCCUGGGACUGUGUAAUAGCUCGCACACCACGCAAUGCGACCAUGUCUAUGAGCCUAUGAGGACAUCACUUAUACCAACCAGGGUGUUUGGUUUGCACCUGUUUGAGAACAUUAUGAGCACAAUUGCACCCAAACUUAUCUUCCAAACAGAGAUUUCUGACAGUGGACCAGUGGGAGGAGAGAGAAAUCUUGCCACCUCUCACCACCUGGCCUGAUAUGAUUCUAUGUGUGUGGAGUGUAGGACUCACUUCCAGGGAUCUUCAGCCCCCAGUGAGCUCAGCUAGCAGACAGUGUACAGCCCUCGCAGUGGAGAAGCUCGGACGUGUGUGGGGGUUUGUUCCUGCAUGUCUGUUGCUCAUCUGCUCAAUGCACAACAGGAGAUCUGGAGAAAGGAGAAGUUUAACUUGUUCCCUUGUGUCAUAUAUCUCAGAGUCUCCACUCCUUAGUGAUGUACAGGUGUAGAGAGUUUACAAGAAGGUCCUGGAAUCUUACAGUUCACCAAAGCUAGGGGUUAUAAAAUAAGAUUGUUAGGAAAAUAUUGAGAUUUUUUUUUUAACAUUUAUAAUUCAUCUUAUGUUGUCACCUUUUUAGGAAUUCUUUUGCUUUUAUGUACCAGAUGUUCUGUGCACUUAUGACUGUUUAUAAUAAAGAUUACUUUUAUGGUGCAUUA
Tachysurus vachellii is the source of this 1276-nucleotide long non-coding RNA. RefSeq lists it as uncharacterized. The record is from RefSeq and is a predicted model, not a curated record. The transcript is spliced from 3 exons. NCBI's taxonomy places the organism in Eukaryota, Metazoa, Chordata, Actinopteri, Siluriformes, Bagridae.